Molecule: long non-coding RNA, 6763 nt
Filed under: Vitis vinifera (wine grape)
Lineage: Eukaryota; Viridiplantae; Streptophyta; Magnoliopsida; Vitales; Vitaceae
Description: long non-coding RNA (VVIN_LNC003280)
Source: RNAcentral
CCCAGAAGAGUGGCUCAAGUUCACAUUCAGAAUUUAUUUGUUGAAAGAGUAUCUCCACUUUAUCACAAUCGAGCACUUCCAAUUCUUUCAGAAGUAGCCAGCUUGAACUAAACCUUCUAGAGCAAAAUCUUUUGAGUUGGUGUAAACCGGAGAGUGUGAGAGAGGUAAGGUUAGGGAAUAAGAGUAAAGGUGCUGCUUCAUCUUCAUUUUCAUUGGCAACAAUUGCCUCCACUCCACUCUCCGAUAUAUAUAGGUCCUCAAGUUGCACAAGAGCACUCGCCACAGAAACCCGAAAAAGGUUUAGCAAUUUGUUGAAUCCCCUUACAUGCAAUUUCCUUAAUUUGGAAAAUGAAUUUGUUGGAAGUUGGUCAGGCCACAAUGCUCUUAUAUUAUCCAGUCCGCAUACAUACAAGGACUCCAAGCCUUGGAGUGCAACCUGUGCAAUUGAUAAUCCCUUUGGUUAAUAAUAUAUACAUAUACAUUCCUAAUGAUUAGACACAUGUAAAUAGAAAAUAAGAGGUUAAAGGAGAAUAUAUCAGUAUAACAAAGCACAAAAUUUAAACUAGAUUAAAGAAGAUCAAGAAAGAGAAAAGAAAAGAAAAAGCCUCCAGAUUUUGAAGAUACAAUGAAACUUAAAAAAAAAAAAAAAAAACCUCCAAAUUUUCCUUUCGAAAUGAGGUAAUAAGAGGAUUUUUUUUUUCUUUUUUCUUUGCCUCUCUUUCAAAUUUGAUUAACUUCUAUGGAAAACGUAUUUUAACUAGUUAUGGAAAACGGAUUUUUUUUUUUAAAAACUUUUAUAUAAGAUACAAGUAAUACUUUAAAAAAAUUGUGAUAUCUAAAAAAUUUUUUGAAAAAUUAUUUUUAAAGAAAUAAGGUAAAUCUAUACUUUUUGUAUAAGAUGUUCUACCUUUGUAUUCAAAUUUCUGAUUUUUUUUUUUUAAAGUGUAUCCAAAUGCACACUAAACUAUCUAGUUUUUAAUUGUUACAACUUUGAAUUGGAUUUUAUGGUAAACUAAUUUACAAGUUAAUGCAUAGAUUCAUCUUAGAUUCCAUCUAUAAAUUUUUUUAAUUAUCUAAUAUAAGACAGUAUAUUAAUGGGUUGAAUUAAUAAUGUAAUUAUAAUUUAUUUGGCAACUUUCUUCCUUCAAAUAUAUAAAAUGAAAAUAAAUUUUAAAAAAUAAAAAAUAAAAAAAAGAUUUUUUUUAUAGUUUUUCUAAGAUGAUUUUGUAGAGUUCUGUUAGUUUAUAGUUUUCACUUUAUUUAUUGAGGUAUGUUCUUUUUUGAAACUCUUGUUUAGAUUUUAUUGAGAAUAUAAAUUUUAAGAAAAAAAAUAAAAUUUAAAUAAAAUAAGAAUAAAGAAAGGCAAAAGCUGGAUGAAUUUUUUUAAGGCAAAAGUUUGAUAAUUUGGCACUCUCAUGUAAUGGGUGAAAUUUUUAAAUACUCAACAAAGGCUAGUGAAAUUUAAAUUAAAACCAUGACAUGUACCUUUUAGACCAAAAUCUUUGGAGUUGGUGUAAUGUUUUGAGUAUGAGAGAGGUUAGUCUAGGGAAUAUUAUUGCACAUUAGUUCAAAUAAAACAUCAACAUUUUUUUUUGUUAAAUUCUAAAUGAACACCACUAUAAAUUAAUGCGAUUUUGUAUGCUCAAUUAAAUAAACUCGUUCUUAAGGCAUCACAUGAAGUGUUUAAGUCUAAUUAAUAUUAAUUAAAAAUGAUUAUAGUAAAAAAAAUCCAAAGUAAUUUUUUUUUAUCAUAAGUCAAGUAGGAUAGUUUUAUAAAUAAUUGGUUCUAGUUUCUAGUAUUAUUGUAGACAAUCGCUAUGUUUGUUGCACCUCCAAAAAAUCUACUACUUGUAAUUAAUUGUAUAUUAUUCUCCAUAUUCACAUCAGUUUAUGUAGUAUGAUUAAUUUAGCAACAAAAUAUAAGUUUACUUGAAAUGGCUUUAAAUUCCUAUGAUAUUAAAGUUUAAGAUUAAAACAAUGUAACAUUAGCAAAAAAGAUUAAGAUCUAUAAUGUAACAAAUAAAAUUUAGAAAAUUCAAGGCAGGGUAAACUCGCACCUGUUCUACCCAGAAGAGUGGCUCAAGUUCACAUUCAGAAUUUAUUUGUUGAAAGAGUAUCUCCACUUUAUCACAAUCGAGCACUUCCAAUUCUUUCAGAAGUAGCCAGCUUGAACUAAACCUUCUAGAGCAAAAUCUUUUGAGUUGGUGUAAACCGGAGAGUGUGAGAGAGGUAAGGUUAGGGAAUAAGAGUAAAGGUGCUGCUUCAUCUUCAUUUUCAUUGGCAACAAUUGCCUCCACUCCACUCUCUGAUAUAUAUAGGUCCUCAAGUUGCACAAGAGCACUCGCCACAGAAACCCGAAAAAGGUUUAGCAAUUUGUUGAAUCCCCUUACAUGCAAUUUCCUUAAUUUGGAAAAUGAAUUUGUUGGAAGUUGGUCAGGCCACAAUGCUCUUAUAUUAUCCAGUCCGCAUACAUACAAGGACUCCAAGCCUGGGAGUGCAACCUGUGCAAUUGAUAAUCCCUUUGGUUAAUAAUAUAUACAUAUACAUUCCUAAUAAUUAGACACAUGUAAAUAGAAAAUAAGAGGUUAAAGGAGAAUAUAUCAGUAUAACAAAGCACAAAAUUUAAACUAGAUUAAAGAAGAUCAAGAAAGAGAAAAGAAAAGAAAAAGCCUCCAGAUUUUGAAGAUACAAUGAAACUUAAAAAAAAAAAAAAAAAACCUCCAAAUUUUCCUUUCGAAAUGAGGUAAUAAGAGGAUUUUUUUUUUAUUUUUUCUUUGCCUCUCUUUCAAAUUUGAUUAACUUCUAUGGAAAACGCAUUUUAACUAGUUAUGGAAAACGGAUUUUUUUUUUUUAAAACUUUUAUAUAAGAUACAAGUAAUACUUUAAAAAAAUUGUGAUAUCUAAAAAAUUUUUUGAAAAAUUAUUUUUAAAGAAAUAAGGUAAAUCUAUACUUUUUGUAUAAGAUGUUCUACCUUUGUAUUCAAAUUUCUGAUUUUUUUUUUUAAAGUGUAUCCAAAUGCACAAUAAACUACCUAGUUUUUAAUUGUUACAACUUUGAAUUGGAUUUUAUGGUAAACUAAUUUACAAGUUAAUGCAUGGAUUCAUCUUAGAUUCCAUCUAUAAAUUUUUUUAAUUAUCUAAUAUAAGACAUUAUAUUAAUGGGUUGAAUUAAUAAUGUAAUUAUAAUUUAUUUGGCAACUUUCUUCCUUCAAAUAUAUAAAAUGAAAAUAAAUUUUAAAAAAUAAAAAAAAUGAAAAAAUAAAAAAUAAAAAAAAGAUUUUUUUUAUAGUUUUUCUAAGAUGAUUUUGUAGAGUACUGUUAGUUUAUAGUUUUCACUUUAUUUAUUGAGGUAUGUUCUUUUUUGAAACUCUUGUUUAGAUUUUAUUGAGAAUAUAAAUUUUAAGAAAAAAAAUGAAAUUUAAAUAAAAUAAGAAUAAAGAAAGGCAAAAGGUGGAUGAAUUUUUUUACGGCAAAAGUUUGAUAAUUUGGCACUAUCAUGUAAUGGGUGAAAUUUUUAAAUACUCAACAAAGGCUAGUGAAAUUUAAAUUAAAACCUUGACAUGUACCUUUUAGACCAAAAUCUUUGGAGUUGGUGUAAAGUUUUGAGUAUGAGAGAGGUUAGUCUAGGGAAUAUUAUUGCACAUUAGUUCAAAUAAAACAUCAACAUUUUUUUUUGUUAAAUUCUAAAUGAACACCACUAUAAAUUAAUGCGAUUUUGUAUGCUCAAUUAAAUAAACUCGUUCUUAAGGCAUCACAUGAAGUAUUUAAGUCUAAUUAAUAUUAAUUAAAAAUGAUUAUAGUAAAAAAAAUCCAAAGUAAUUUUUUUUUAUCAUAAGUCAAGUAGGAUAGUUUUAUAAAUAAUUGGUUCUAGUUUCUAGUAUUAUUGUAGACAAUCGCUAUGUUUGUUGCACCUCCAAAAAAUCUACUACUUGUAAUUAAUUGUAUAUUAUUCUCCAUAUUCACAUCAGUUUAUGUAGUAUGAUUAAUUUAGCAACAAAAUAUAAGUUUACUUGAAAUGGCUUUAAAUUCCUAUGAUAUUAAAGUUUAAGAUUAAAACAAUGUAACAUUAGCCAAAAAGAUUAAGAUCUAUAAUGUAACAUAUAAAAUUUAGAAAAUUCAAGGAAGGGUAAACUCGCACCUGUUCUACCCAGAAGAGUGGCUCAAGUUCACAUUCAGAAUUUAUUUGUUGAAAGAGUAUCUCCACUUUAUCACAAUAGAGCACUUCCAAUUCUUUCAGAAGUGGCCAGCUUGAACUAAACCUUCUAGAGCAAAAUCUUUUGAGUUGGUGUAAACCGGAGAGUGUGAGAGAGGUAAGGUUAGGGAAUAAGAGUAAAGGUGCUGCCUCAUCUUCAUUUUCAUUGGCAACAAUUGCCUCCACUCCACUCUGAAAUAUAUUUAGGUUCUCAAGUUGCACAAGAGCACUCGCCACAGAAACCGGAAAAAGGUUUAGCAAUUUGUUGCAUCCCCUUACUUGCAAUUCCCUUAAUUUGGAAAAUGAAUUUGCUGGAAGUUGGUCAGGCCACAAUGCUCUUAUAUUAUCUAGUCCGCAUACAGAAAAGGACUCCAAGCCUGGGAGUGCAACCUGUGCAAUUGAUGAUCCCUUUAGUUAAUAAUAUAUACAUAUACAUUCCUAAUAAUUAGCACAUGUAAAUAGAAAAUAAGAGGUUAAAGGAGAAUAUAUCAGUAUAACAAAGCACAAAAUUUAAACUAGAUUCAAGAAGAUCAAGAAAGAGAAAAGAAAAGAAAAAGCCUCCAGAUUUUAAAGAUACAAUGAAACUUAAAAAAAAAAAAAAAAAACCUCCAAAUUUUCCUUUCGAAAUGAGGUAAUAAGAGGAUUUUUUUUUUUUUCUUUUUUCUUUGCCUCUCUUUCAAAUUUGAUUAACUUCUAUGGAAAACGUAUUUUAACUAGUUAUGGAAAACGGAUUUUUUUUUUAAACUUUUAUAUAAGAUACAAGUAAUACUUUUAAAAAAUUGUGAUAUCUAAAAAAGUUUUUGAAAAAUUAUUUUUAAAGAAAUAAGGUAAAUCUAUACUUUUUGUAUAAGAUCUUCUACCUUUAUAUACAAAUUUCUGAUUUUUUUUUUUAAAGUGUAUCCAAAUGGACACUAAACUAUCUAGUUUUUAAUUGUUACAACUUUGAAUUGGAUUUUAUGGUAAACUAAUUUACAAGUUAAUGCAUGGAUUCAUCUUAGAUUCCAUCUAUAAAUUUUUUUAAUUAUCUAAUAUAAGACAUUAUAUUAAUGGGUUGAAUUAAUAAUGUAAUUAUAAUUUAUUUGGCAACUUUCUUCCUUCAAAUAUAUAAAAUGAAAAUAAAUUUUAAAAAAUAAAAAAGAAUGAAAAAAAUAAAAAAUAAAAAAAGCUUUUUUUUAUAGUUUUUCUAAGAUGAUUUUGUAGAGUACUGUUAGUUUAUAGUUUUAACUUUAUUUCAUUUUACUUUUAACUUUAUUUAUUGAGGUAUGUUCUUUUUUGAAACUCUUGUUUAGAUUUUAUAGAGAAUAUAAAUUUUAAGAAAAAAAAAGGAAAUUUAAAUAAAAUAAGAAUAAAGAAAGGCAAAAGGUGGAUGAAUUUUUUUAAGGCAAAAGUUUGAUAAUUUGGCACUAUCAUGUAAUGGGUGAAAUUUUUAAAUACUCAACAAAGGCUAGUGAAAUUUAAAUUAAAAGCUUGACAUGUACCUUUUCGACCAAAAUCUUUGGAGUUGGUGUAAAGUUUUGAGUAUGAGAGAGGUUAGUCUAGGGAAUAUUAUUGCACAUUUGUUCAAAUAAAACAUCAACAUUUUUUUUUGUUAAAUUCUAAAUGAACACCACUAUAAAUUAAUGCGAUUUUGUAUGCUCAAUUAAAUAAACUCAUUCUUAAGGCAUCACAUGAAGUGUUUAAGUCUAAUUAAUAUUAAUUAAAAAUGAUUAUAUUAAAAAAAAUCCAAAGUAAUUUAUUUUUAUCAUAAGUCAAGUAGGAUAGUUUUAUAAAUAAUUGGUUCUAGUUUCUAGUAUUAUUGUACACAAUCGCUAUGUUUGUUGCACCUCCAAAAAUCUACUACUUGUAAUUAAUUGUAUAUUAUUCUCCAUAUUCACAUCAGUUUAUGUAGUAUGAUUAAUUUAGCAACAAAAUAUAAGUUUACUUGAAAUCGCUUUAAAUUCCUAUGAUAUUAAAGUUUAAGAUUAAAACAAUUUAACAUUAGCCAAAAAGAUUAAGAUCUAUAAUGUAACAUAUAAAAUUUAGAAAAUUCAAGGAAGGGUAAACUCGCACCUGUUCUACCCAGAAGAGUGGCUCAAGUUCACAUUCAGAAUUUAUUUGUUGAAAGAGUAUCUCCACUUUAUCACAAUCGAGCACUUCCAAUUCUUUCAGAAGUGGCCAACUUGAACUAAACUUUCUAGAGCAAAAUCUUUUGAGUUGGUGUAAACCGGAGAGUGUGAGAGAGGUAAGGUUAGGGAAUAAAAGUAAAAGUGCUGCUUCAUCUUCAUUUUCAUUGUGAACAAUUGCCUCCACUCCACUAUAAAAUAUAUUUAGGUUCUCAAGUUGCACAAGAGCACUCGCCACAGAAACCGGAAAAAGGUUUAGCAAUUUGUUGCAUCCCCUUACUUGCAAUUUCCUUAAUUUGGAAAAUGAAUUUGCUGGAAGUUGGUCAGGCCACAAUGCUCUUAUAUUAUCUAGUCCGCAUACAGACACGGACUCCAAGCCUGGGAGUGCAACCUGUGCAAUUGAUGAUCCCUUUAGUUAAUAAUAUAUACAUAUACAUUCCUAAUAAUUAGACACAUGUAAAUAGAAAAU